GGCGUGUUCGUCUAGCGGCCUAGGACAUCGCCCUCUCAAGGCGAAGAUCACGGGUUCAAAUCCCGUACACGCCACCA
RNAcentral lists this transfer RNA (77 nucleotides) under Elusimicrobiota bacterium. RNAcentral's name for it is "Elusimicrobia bacterium (groundwater metagenome) tRNA-Glu". It matches the Rfam family "tRNA". Rfam says of the family: Transfer RNA (tRNA) molecules are approximately 80 nucleotides in length. Their secondary structure includes four short double-helical elements and three loops (D, anti-codon, and T loops). The record is from RNAcentral. Lineage: Bacteria; Pseudomonadati; Elusimicrobiota.